AUGUUGAUGGAUAAAAAGCAUCUAAAAGCACUAGUACUAGAGUGGACAUCAUAUUCAGAAGAUAUUGGAAAAACUGAGAAGGUGUUUGAGCAGCUAAUACCUCCAGCCAACUUGGAAACCCUAUAUAUUAUUGGGUUCUUUGGUCGGCGCUAUCCCAUCUGGUUUGGUAGCACCUGUUUGUCUUCACUGGUACACGUGAUCCUUAGAAAUCUACGAUGUGUGAGUCUUCCACCGAUUGGCCAGCUACCCAACUUGAAAUAUCUGAGAAUUGAGGAAGCAUAUGCAAUUACCAAGGUUGGACCUGAAUUUGUUGGUUGCACGAAGGCCCAUUCCAUAUGCAGUCAGUUGGUUGCUUUCCCUAAACUUGAAUGGUUAAUCAUCAGGGAUAUGCCCAACUGGGAGGAGUGGUCUUUUUUUGAAGAAGAAAUAGAAGUUGCUCUUAAUGAAAGGGGAGAGAAUGGAACUGCCGAGAUUCAGAAAGAGGAUGCCUCAUCUGCAAGGAUGCAACUGCUGCCUCGUUUGGUGAAGUUGAAACUUGAUGGUUGCCCAAAGUUGAGGGCUCUUCCGCUACAUCUUGGAGUGGACACUGCCAGAUUAAAGCACCUCUAA
RNAcentral lists this ribosomal RNA (609 nucleotides) under Triticum aestivum (bread wheat). Its description in RNAcentral is "partial small subunit ribosomal RNA". The record is from RNAcentral. Lineage: Eukaryota; Viridiplantae; Streptophyta; Magnoliopsida; Poales; Poaceae.